Long non-coding RNA from Helianthus annuus (common sunflower), 1017 nucleotides. RefSeq lists it as uncharacterized. The transcript has 5 exons. The record is from RefSeq and is a predicted model, not a curated record. NCBI's taxonomy places the organism in Eukaryota, Viridiplantae, Streptophyta, Magnoliopsida, Asterales, Asteraceae.
AACAAAUCAGGAUAAAUAUAUCAACUUAUCAAGUGCAGCAACCGUUUGUUCAUUCUUGAAGCGUGCGAAUUUUACACUUUAAUGGCGGAAAAACCCUCAAUUUUGCCUGCUAACUUGAAUUCCGAUUCAUCUACCAUAAAGUGAUUCAGUUUCAAACAGUUGGUUAAUGCCAGAAUCCAUCACAAGUGAUUCAGUUUCAAACAAUAGUGCUGUUUAGGGCUAUUAGUUGCACGUUAAUCGGUCUAUGAAACAUGGGUUUUACAGCUGUUGGUGAUCUUUGAAGGUUUUAAAGAUUCCUUUUGCUUUCUUCUUUGAAUAUGAAAUGGCAUUUGUGAUUGCAACUUAAAGUUACUGCCAAAGAUGACUCUUUCUCUUGUAAUGUUUGACAAAAAAAAGACAACGGUGAUGUUUGGUGUGAAGAUAAAGAUCGAAUAUUUGUACCGUUUUGCCACUAUAAGUGGGUGUUGCAGUUCAAGUCUUUUAAAUGAGGAAACAAAAGUGCACCAUCGUCGAUUUGCACCUGCUUCCGUUUCUGGCGUCACUGUGUUUACAGGUAAACCCUCAGUCGAUCCUUCAUGAUGGCCAUGUUUUGACCGCCUAACUAUUGAAGAUGGAUCUCUAAUCUAAAAGCACAAAGAAGAGGUCAUUUGAUGCAUGCUGUAUGGGGUGGCAAAGCUCAUUGUAUUUUACAACAGGUUAAAAUCAAGGUGGCAUUUCAUAGGUCAGAUUGCAGGUCACAUUCUAAUGGUAGCGGGUCAGAUUGCAACUUAAUGUGUAACUUAUAGCUAUAAAGGUUUGUACUCAAUUUGUUGCAACAUUAUUAACCAUAUUUGUUGUUGUUUACCUAACAAAUUAUAUAGAACAAUUCGGGAACCACGGCGCAACGCGCGGGGUUUAAUACUAGCAUAUUAUAAACUUGUAACACAAAUGCGCAUCAUGUAGUUGUACAAUGUGCAAAAAGUCUUAUAUAUGUUGUAUAUGUUGUUUAAAACCUCUAUAAUUUGAUAGUCUUGAACC